UGAAAUAGUCAGAGAGUGAAGAAUAAAGAAAGAGAGAGAAAAAGGGAGACGAAAAAAUAAAAAUAAUAGAAGAAGAAAUACUCGAAGGAGAACUGGUUCCACGAGAAGCGAGAGAAAUGAGAGACGAAGAAGGAGGACACUUACGAUGUACCAAAGGAGGCUAGCGUGGUCUGUUACGAGAGAGAAAACCGGUUUUACGAUUCAAACUGGAGUAAAAGUGUGUAUUGCAUCGUCGUCGUUGGGAUUCGCCAAACUGAACCGCGCGUUUCCAUGUUUACGAUCCAGAACGAAUGCAAGGCGGAUGCAUCUCUCCAACGAGUAGGCGUGAGACUCGACGACUCUUUCGUACUCUUUGGUUGCAAUUAACAUCGUUAUCGCUCCGAUGUGCUACCCGGUGAAUAAUUAAUUAUCUACUAAGUAAUUACCCAGUGGGUUGAACUCGUGGACCAUCAUCCAACUGGUUCCAACGAGAGAGUCUGAGUCGUCGCUUUGUCUCUUCUCAGAGGAUAGAGGAACCGAGGUCAAGCGAGAGCUCAGCGAUUGGAGGACCAUGGUCGGUCGAAGCUUGAAGAAACCAGUUUCCGUUAAAAACGUACGAUUGUGGCGCCAACAAGCGGCCUUUGCUUGUGAUUGAGCAAGUAAGAGUCCAGCAGCUUUGCUGGAGUGUCCGUUCUCCAGGGCGGGAGGAUGUUGACCCUCAUGCGCCAUCUUGAAUGACGGGAUACCGUCGAUCGUAGUACUACUCACAGCUGGUAUUGCGACGUUUCACGUGCACGUUAGAAGAACGUGAACGUUCGAUACGUAUCUAGAUGUGUGUUUGCGUAUAUGUGUGUAUAUAACGCGUCAUCACACACGAGUGACACGUAUCGGAGUAUACGUACGAGAGUUGCUUUCGAAUUUAUGUGACACCGAUUAAAGAUUCGAUCUUCGUAGCUAUCACGGCUAUGACGAUUGACAAUUUUUAUAAAAAAUUUUGAAUCGAUUUAAUCAUUUGAUUCUAUCGUAAAUUAUGUCAGUCAUAAUUUUAAUACGAUAUUAAAUCCGCAUCCUAAUCGUCGACAAUUCGUAACAACAAUUUUAAACGUAUUAUCUUAUUAUUAAUUUCUU
Vespula pensylvanica (western yellowjacket) is the source of this 1107-nucleotide long non-coding RNA. RefSeq lists it as uncharacterized. The record is from RefSeq and is a predicted model, not a curated record. Lineage: Eukaryota; Metazoa; Arthropoda; Insecta; Hymenoptera; Vespidae. The transcript has 3 exons.